AACGAACGCUGGCGGCAUGCCUAACACAUGCAAGUCGAACGAGACCUUCGGGUCUAGUGGCGCACGGGUGCGUAACGCGUGGGAACCUUCCCUUAGGUUCGGAAUAACUCCCCGAAAGGGGUGCUAAUACCGGAUAAUUUCUUCGGACCAAAGAUUUAUCGCCUUUGGUUGGGCCCGCGUUGGAUUAGCUUGUUGGUAGGGUAAAAGCCUACCAAGGCGACAAUCCAUAGCUGGUUUGAGAGAAUGAUCAGCCACACUGGGACUGAGAAACGGCCCAGAAUACUACGGGAGGCAGCAGAGGGGAAUAUAGGAAAAUGGGCGAAAGCAUGAACCAGCAAUGCCGGGUGAGUGAUGAAGGCAUUAGGGUAGUAAAGCUGUUUUAAACGGGAUGAUAAUGACAGUACCGGGAGAAUAAGCUCCGGCUAACUCCGUG
RNAcentral lists this ribosomal RNA (433 nucleotides) under uncultured bacterium. RNAcentral's name for it is "partial 16S ribosomal RNA". It matches the Rfam family "Bacterial small subunit ribosomal RNA", at positions 29 to 507 of the family's 1533-position model. The record is from RNAcentral.